GUAACAGUGCAGUUUGGAAAGCUUUACGAUCAAUUAAUCCAGCCAAGGAGAAGAGCCCGUGGAUGGAUGAGAUUGACCAGUUCCCCGUGGAUGUUCCAAGGGUUGCAAAAAUCUAAAAAUCCAAUUGAGCUUUCAUUUAGCUUAGUGUUCCCGACAUCGCAGGUGAUUAUUCUUUAUCAGUUGCAAUGUGCUGUUCAGUUGUUUCCUUGUGAUUCUCAAGCUAGUCUAUCGCUGAUCUAAUUCUAUUGAGAAGCUUAGAUAGGGAAUUCUACUUGCUCUCCAUUGAGUUAUGAGAAUCAAGCAAGUGUUCUUCUCAUUUUUAUGUUUGUGGAAAUUGAGUUUAGGAUCAUUGACCUGUUGGUAAUUUGGAAUUCAGGGGGUAAUUGCUGA
This 390-nucleotide unclassified non-coding RNA is filed under the name Hevea brasiliensis (rubber tree). Lineage: Eukaryota; Viridiplantae; Streptophyta; Magnoliopsida; Malpighiales; Euphorbiaceae. The record is from RNAcentral.